CUCCUCAUUUUGGCAGCACAUGUAUUAAAACAGAAAUGAUACAGAGAAGAUUAGUAUGGCCCUUGCACAAGAAUGACAGGCAAAUUUGUGAAAUGUUUCAUUUUUUU
Small nuclear RNA from Nycticebus coucang (slow loris), 107 nucleotides. Lineage: Eukaryota; Metazoa; Chordata; Mammalia; Primates; Lorisidae. The record is from RefSeq and is a predicted model, not a curated record.